UACAGAGGUGCCAAGCGUUAGGCGGAAUCACUGGGCUUAAAGCGUGUGUAGGCGGAUCGUUAAGUACCUUGUGAAAUCCCACGGCUCAACCGUGGAACUGCUGGGUAUACUGGCGAUCUUGAGCCACCUAGGGGCGAGCGGAACAAGCGGUGGAGCGGUGAAAUGCGUAGAUAUCAUGUGGAACGCCAAUGGUGAAAACAGCUCGCUGGGGGUGUACUGACACUGAGACACGAAAGCCAGGGGAGCGAACGGG
RNAcentral lists this ribosomal RNA (253 nucleotides) under uncultured bacterium. RNAcentral describes it as "partial 16S ribosomal RNA". It matches the Rfam family "Bacterial small subunit ribosomal RNA", at positions 524 to 776 of the family's 1533-position model. The record is from RNAcentral.